RNAcentral lists this long non-coding RNA (222 nucleotides) under Malus domestica (apple). RNAcentral describes it as "long non-coding RNA (MDOM_LNC020704)". The record is from RNAcentral. Lineage: Eukaryota; Viridiplantae; Streptophyta; Magnoliopsida; Rosales; Rosaceae.
AAUGUCAUAAUUCUUCAAUUACAAAUUGUUGUAUGAAGAAAUAAGAGUUGCUUUGAACAACCCUUAGCUAACGCAAACAUUAGUGCUUGUUUCUUUGUUACAUGAACAAGGAACUUGAGAAGUAAGCACAAGGGCAUGGACACUUUAUGUGCCAUGAUUCAUCACUUACAAAUUGUUGUAUGAAGAAAUGAGAGUUGCCUUGAACAACUCUUGAAAGUUUGU